GUCCCUGUCGAUUAGUGGUUAAAUCAUCGUGUUGUGGUUGUUUCCAAAACAUAGCAUAUCCGCGAAGCCGGGAGCUCGAAUCUCCCCAGGGACA
This is a non-coding RNA of Lentinula detonsa, 94 nucleotides long. The record is from the annotation of a GenBank genome assembly. Lineage: Eukaryota; Fungi; Basidiomycota; Agaricomycetes; Agaricales; Omphalotaceae.